This 254-nucleotide ribosomal RNA is filed under the name uncultured bacterium. RNAcentral's name for it is "partial 16S ribosomal RNA". It matches the Rfam family "Bacterial small subunit ribosomal RNA", at positions 524 to 776 of the family's 1533-position model. The record is from RNAcentral.
UACGGGGGGAGCAAGCGUUGUUCGGAUUUACUGGGCGUAAAGGGCGCGUAGGCGGUCAGCACAAGUCAGUUGUGAAAUCUCCGGGCUUAACUCGGAAAGGUCAACUGAUACUGUGCGACUAGAGUGCGGAAGGGGCAACUGGAAUUCUCGGUGUAGCGGUGAAAUGCGUAGAUAUCGAGAGGAACACCUGCGGCGAGGGCGGGUUGCUGGGCCGACACUGACGCUGAUGCGCGAAAGCCAGGGGAGCGAACGGG